GGAGUUAGGAAAUGCAAGUCUGUUAAUACCAGAUUUGUUUGACAAAAGCUCCAGAGGAAGCCACGGCUAACUCUGUGCCAGCAGCCGCGGUAAUACAGAGGUGGCAAGCGUUGUUCGGAACUAUUGGGCGUAAAGAGCACGUAGGUGGGUUUGUAAGUCAGACGUGAAAGCCUUCUGUUCAACGGAAGAAUUGCAUCUGAAACUACAAAUCUUGAGUAUAGGAGGGGAGAGUGGAACUUCUGGU
Molecule: ribosomal RNA, 244 nt
Filed under: uncultured anaerobic ammonium-oxidizing bacterium
Lineage: Bacteria
Description: partial 16S ribosomal RNA
Rfam family: Bacterial small subunit ribosomal RNA
Source: RNAcentral